CCUACGGGUGGCUGCAGUCGAGAAUCAUUCACAAUGGGGGAAACCCUGAUGGUGCGACGCCGCGUGGGGGAAUGAAGGUCUUCGGAUUGUAAACCCCUGUCAUGUGGGAGCAAAUUAAAAAGAUAGUACCACAAGAGGAAGAGACGGCUAACUCUGUGCCAGCAGCCGCGGUAAUACAGAGGUCUCAAGCGUUGUUCGGAAUCACUGGGCGUAAAGCGUGCGUAGGCUGUUUCGUAAGUCGUGUGUGAAAGGCGCGGGCUCAACCCGCGGACGGCACAUGAUACUGCGAGACUAGAGUAAGGGAGAGGGAGCCGGAAUUCUCGGUGUAGCAGUGAAAUGCGUAGAUAUCGAGAGGAACCCUCGUGGCGAAGGCGGGUUCCUGGACAUUAACUGACGCUGAGGCACGAAGGCCAGGGGAGCGAAAGGGAUUAGAUACCCCGGUAGUC
RNAcentral lists this ribosomal RNA (446 nucleotides) under uncultured bacterium. RNAcentral describes it as "partial 16S ribosomal RNA". It matches the Rfam family "Bacterial small subunit ribosomal RNA", at positions 338 to 795 of the family's 1533-position model. The record is from RNAcentral.